GAUCUCAAUAAUAUUAUCUCUCUGCAGUGAAUAUAUGCAAAACACUCGGUCAUUAACAAAAUGAACUCUUUAAGUAAAAUAUUAUUCAAAUAGAGCACAUGUAAAAAGGAAUUUAAUUUUGCAUGGAAGUUCUACUGACCGAUCUUUAACAAGCAAGCAGAAACACAUACAAAAUACAUAUCAACAUUCAAAACAUGUCUUCUAUGGUUACUCUGAUU
This 218-nucleotide unclassified non-coding RNA is filed under the name Hevea brasiliensis (rubber tree). The record is from RNAcentral. Lineage: Eukaryota; Viridiplantae; Streptophyta; Magnoliopsida; Malpighiales; Euphorbiaceae.